GGCCAGGCUGCCAGAGCGAGCAGUGACAACGUGCUGGGGUCCUCUUCCACGCUGUAGAAGCUUUGUUCUUUCGCUGUUUGCAAUAAAUAUUGCAACUGCUUACUCUUUGGGUCCACACUGCCUUUAAGAGCUGUAACACUCACUGUGAAGGUCUGCAGCUUCGUUCUUGAAGCCCGCGAGACCAUGAGCCCACUGGGAGGAACAAACAACUCCAGAUGCGCUGCCUUAAGAGCUGUAACGCUCACCGCAAAGGUCUGCAGCUUCACUCCUGAGCCAGCCAGACCACGAACCCCACCAGAAGGAAGAAACUCCGAACACAUCUGAACAUCAGAAGGAACAAACUCUGGACACGCCGCCUUUAAGAACUGUAACACUCACCGCGAGGGUCUGCGGCUUCAUUCUUAAAGUCAGUGAGACCAAGAACCCACCAAUUCCGGACACAAUAGGAGUGAGAUUGGGCUAUGUGUCCUUUAUCUUCUAGUACUCUAGCCCCUCUUUCCGAGACAUUUGGUAACGUUCCAGUAACAAAAUGAAAUCACAUGCCAGAACCCAGAAUUAGAAGAGGACACCACACAAAAUUACAUGGCAAGGGUACAAAGAAAAGUUGGAAUUGUAACAGGACCUUCCGGAUGUGAAAAUAAAUUUGGGAGAAGCAAUGAAAUCAACAAAGAAACACACAGAGCCAACAUAGGCAGAGUGAUUUUAAGGAGACACACUGAUCUGUAAGCCUUUAAGACUUGCCUAAAGCUGCAUAAACAUAUAGAAAAAUACAAAGGAAACAUUGUUUAGAAGGUGAAAUUCAGCUGACCAUGAAAGCCACAGAAUAAAAAAAGCUUCACUUUCUUCCUCUUUUACAUAUUGGGCUUUUAUAUAAGAUCUUGGUUUUAAAAAGAGGCUUGUUGCUUUUUAAAUAAAUUUUCAAAGAUGUUUCCAAUCUGGUUUGUUUGAAGAGCAUUUUGAAUUAGAUGCGCAUCUCCAUCAUGAGUUCUAAUGCCAUUAGGCUUGCCCCUUAUUUUCUUGGAGUCUCAGUUCCAGUCGGUGAUAAACAGGUAUAAAAUGUUUUAAAAUACUCUAGAGUUGUUUUGAUGAUUAAAUAAAAAAGUACAUAAUGUAUGUGUUACAUUUUAUUCCUCUUUCUUCCCUCUGUAUUAGUUCUCUUUCUAGUGUGAAAUAUCCUUUCAUUAAUGGUUCUAAGAAAAAAGCCCUAUCUCACCAAGGCUUGAAGACAAUUGUGAGAACAAAUUAUGUUCAUUUAGAUGAUAAUUUUAGAUAAGCAUGGCUUAUUUCACAUAUUC
RNAcentral lists this long non-coding RNA (1295 nucleotides) under Homo sapiens (human). RNAcentral describes it as "HSALNT0092497". Lineage: Eukaryota; Metazoa; Chordata; Mammalia; Primates; Hominidae. The record is from RNAcentral.